UGUCGCAGUGAAAUUUGCUGUUGUGUCAUAUAUCAUAUUGUAUCCAGCAGAGUUCAUACGAAAGUAUGUUAAUUUUUUGGACGCCCCACAGUAUGAGUCCCAUGCAUUUCUUUUCGUACUCUCUCUGCUGAAUUUUAUUUUUUCAUAUUUAUGGGUGGUUUUCAUGGUUCAACAGUUUCUAUUUAACUUUGUCAUGCCACGACUUCAUAACUGGAGGGGACCUCGUCGCCCAUAUGAGAAGUUGGGACGGGACCUCAUGGCCAAGCCUUCAUGGCCACCUCUCAUCACUGCUGCUAGCCCCGAGGACGGGCCUCUUUCAUCUCCUAACGAUGACCAAUCUUCAUAACUCCUGAACUUGCCCGCUAGUGGAAAACAAACAGCGAAAAUGAUGUUUUAAUCGAAAGAGAUUCAUGAAGUGAGCGUGGUGGGUAGGCCCACACUCACAUUUUCCACAUUUCGUGGUAGCAGCAAGAAACGCAAGAAUGAAGCUUUGAGGCAUGAGUAACUAACUGAAGACAACUGUGAAAAAGCUCAAAGUGUGGUGCAUAUUAAAACAGCCAUGUUAAGCGCAGGUCAAACGAAAAAAUGCAAUGCAGCACACAAAAACAUUGUGUGAUUCAUAUGUGACUGAUAAUUGACAUGCAUUUCUGUUCAUGUGUAAUAAAAAUUGUUUUGGUAUGUUG
Molecule: long non-coding RNA, 683 nt
Organism: Dermacentor silvarum
Lineage: Eukaryota; Metazoa; Arthropoda; Arachnida; Ixodida; Ixodidae
Exons: 4
Source: RefSeq, a predicted model, not a curated record